CCUACGGGAGGCAGCAGUGGGGAAUAUUUCACAAUGUGGGAAACCCUGAUGCAGCGACGCCGCGUGAGUGAAGAAGUAAUUCGUUACGUACAGCUCUAUCAGCAGGGAAGAAACACUGACCUUACGGUCAGCAGACGGUCCCUGAGUAAGAAGCCCCGGCUAACUACGUGCCAGCAGCCGCGGUAAUACGUAGGGGGCAAGCGUUAUCCGGAUUUACUGGGUGUAAAGGGAGCGUAGGCGGUGCGCCAAGUCUGUGGUGAAAUGCCGCAGCUUAACUGUGGAACUGCUUUGGAACCGGGCGAACUAGAGUGCGGGAGGGGUAAGCGGAAGUUCUAGUGUAGCGGUGAAAUGCGUAGAGAGUAGGAGGAACACCGGUGGCGAAGGCGGCUUACUGGACCGUAACUGACGUUGAGGCGCGAAAGCGGGGGGAGCAAACAGGAUUAGAUACCCGGGUAGUC
RNAcentral lists this ribosomal RNA (458 nucleotides) under uncultured bacterium. Its description in RNAcentral is "partial 16S ribosomal RNA". It matches the Rfam family "Bacterial small subunit ribosomal RNA", at positions 338 to 795 of the family's 1533-position model. The record is from RNAcentral.